CCGCCGGCGACCGGCGCACGGGUGAGUAACACGUAUGCAACCUGGCCGUGACAGAUGGAUAACCGGGAGAAAUCCCGCCUAAUACAACAUAAUGCCGGGAGGGGACAUCCCCUGCCGGUCAAAGGGGGCGACCCCGGUCACGGAUGGGCAUGCGGCGCAUUAGGUAGUUGGUGGGGCAACGGCCCACCAAGCCGACGAUGCGUAGGGGUUCUGAGAGGAAGGUCCCCCACCAUUGGAACUGAGACACGGUCCAAACUCCUACGGAAGGCAGCAG
Molecule: ribosomal RNA, 274 nt
Filed under: uncultured bacterium
Lineage: Bacteria
Description: partial 16S ribosomal RNA
Rfam family: Bacterial small subunit ribosomal RNA
Source: RNAcentral